RNAcentral lists this ribosomal RNA (460 nucleotides) under uncultured bacterium. RNAcentral's name for it is "partial 16S ribosomal RNA". It matches the Rfam family "Bacterial small subunit ribosomal RNA", at positions 338 to 795 of the family's 1533-position model. The record is from RNAcentral.
CCUACGGGUGGCAGCAGUGAGGAAUAUUGGUCAAUGGCCGUAAGGCUGAACCAGCCAAGUAGCGUGAGGGAAGACUGGCCUAUGGGUUGUAAACCUCUUUUAUGCGGGGAUAAAGGUGUCCACGUGUGGAUGUUUGCAGGUACCGCAUGAAUAAGGACAGGCUAAUUCCGUGCCAGCAGACGCGGUAAUACGGAAGGUACGGGCGUUAUCCGGAUUUAUUGGGUUUAAAGGGAGCGUAUGCCGGUCGUUAAGGGUAGCGUGAAAUUUUGUGGCUCAACCAUGCGAGUGCGGCGCAAACUGGAGACCUUGAGUGCGCGGAAGGCAGGCGGAAUUCGUGGUGUAGCGGUGAAAUGCUUAGAUAUCACGAAGAACCCCGGUUGCGAAGGCAGCCAGCCGCAGCGUUACUGACGCUGAAGCUCGAAAGCGCGGGUAUCGAACAGGAUUAGAUACCCGGGUAGUC